UCCGGUUUGUCACCGGCAGUCUCCCUAGAGUGCCCUUGCGUAGCAACUAGGGACAAGGGUUGCGCUCGUUGCGGGACUUAACCCAACAUCUCACGACACGAGCUGACGACAGCCAUGCAGCACCUGUCACCGGUCCAGCCGAACUGAAGGAAUCCAUCUCUGGAAACCGCGACCGGGAUGUCAAGGGUUGGUAAGGUGGGGAUGACGUUCUUGCUAGGUAA
Molecule: unclassified non-coding RNA, 221 nt
Filed under: uncultured bacterium
Lineage: Bacteria
Description: contains 16S-23S intergenic spacer region
Source: RNAcentral